UCGCCACGGUAACACCCGCUCCCCGAGUGGUGGGGACGAUUAUUGGGCUUAAAGCGUCCGUAGCCGGCCUGGCAAGUCCCUCGUUAAAUCCAACGGCCUAACCGUUGGACUGCGGGGGGAUACUGUCAGGCUAGGGGGCGGGAGAGGCCGGCGGUAUUCCCCGGGGUAGGGGUGAAAUCCUAUAAUCCCGGGGAGGACCACCAGUGGCGAAGGC
RNAcentral lists this ribosomal RNA (214 nucleotides) under uncultured archaeon. RNAcentral's name for it is "partial 16S ribosomal RNA". It matches the Rfam family "Archaeal small subunit ribosomal RNA", at positions 462 to 673 of the family's 1478-position model. The record is from RNAcentral.